AAGGCGGGGAAAGGAUCUGUACGGAAACAACACUGGUUUCUGAUUGGCAGGAUGUUGGUUGGGUAAAAUCUCAUCGGUUGGAUUUCCCCAUGUAUAAAACCAAGGGUCCGGAUGCAUCUUGCAAUUAAGUAAUGGCAUGUGAAGUGUGUAGAGGAAGUAAUCUGCAUGACAUUUGGGUACAAAGGUUGAAUCUUUAGUGAAAGAAGAACUGAGGGCAACGCCGCAGCGUCUUAGCAUUCCCAAAUGGACGUCCGUUUCCCGACGACAACUCCGACAGAGUCACUCCUCACCGUCGCCGGCUCAGUUUCCAAACGGCUCGGUAACUUGUCGGCUGAUUUUCUACAGUGUUGGAGGGUUAGGCAUGUGAAGCAGCAUCUAAAAGUCGGUUCCUCCCUGUUUGGAGAGAUCAAACCGAAACUAAAAAAGGAUUCGGAACCACAAAUGCAUUAAUCGUUUUGAACGAUGCGCUAGUCGGGGGCGCUGACUCGAGAUGUAAGAUGAUUUGCCAUUUUUUACUGUAUAUAUUUUUUUGUGAUGAGAUCCAGAUGUCGGUAUGAUGCUUUUGGUUUUUGUUUUUUGGGUUUCUUUGUGAUGAGGGAGAUUAUUUGUAAUUUUCAUAUGUGAUUAUUUGCUUUUAAAUAUUAAUGUUGUGUUUUUGGUUUUUGCAGUAUCUGAGUAUUUGGCCAUGGUUGCCUCUGUACAGCUCUCAACAAAAUGUGCUAGAUUUACCCUUUUAACUAAUCUUCAUAACCAUAUGUACAUGUUUUGAGUUUGAGGAAACAUACUGGGCAAAAAUUGUUGUUUUUCCUUUCUGCAUAUGGGAGAAUUACCCUUUAAUUAGUUUCAUAUCCCUAAUUUUGUUUGUUUUGAUGAAGAAACGAACUUGCUAUACCUAAUUAGUUUCAUACCUUAUUUUAUUUUUGUUUUAAUUAGUUUCACAAUUAAGUAUCGUGCGUGCAAGUUUUUUUAAUUUGAAAUUAAGAAAGCUAUGUUGCUCCCUUAGUUUGGCAAAGUUUGUGAUUAGUUUGAAUGAGAUUGAGAAUACAGAGUAAUUAAAAUGACAUCUUGUAUAUGUUAUUAAUUUGUGAACUUUUCCGCAAACAAAAUAGAUGAUGCAGGUGAGAAGAAAGAAGAAGAGGCUGUGGAUGACUCUAUGACUCAACUACAAUUUGAGACUAUGGCCAUAGUUUUCUUGACUGCCUGAUGCCAAGUAUGAUAGCUGAGUUGAACACUGAUUCCAGGCUAGAGUGACUUACCACCUGCCCGUAUCGCACAAGUCAUCCAACUCAUCCAUUGUUUAGUAAUGACUGCAUAUGAGCCUGCUGAAGCUGAGGAUUUCCUGGAGUCUUGCUUAAUUAUCUCUUUAUUAUUUUAGAUGUAUGUUGUGAAUGCUUCAGUAGUUACAUAUAAUGCAUACAUGGUAUAAGGAUUGUGAUUUAGUUGAUUGA
Pyrus x bretschneideri (Chinese white pear) is the source of this 1448-nucleotide long non-coding RNA. RefSeq lists it as uncharacterized. Lineage: Eukaryota; Viridiplantae; Streptophyta; Magnoliopsida; Rosales; Rosaceae. The transcript has 2 exons. The record is from RefSeq and is a predicted model, not a curated record.